AUCCCCAUGGUCAUGUCUAAAAUCGAGUGGAUGAGCCGAGCGGUGACUGUGAAGACACUGCCUGGUCCAGCUCCCUCGCUCACUAGCGCCGCCUUCUGAACAAGUCAUUUACGUCUGACAGCCUCGGUCUCCUCAAGUACCGGAUGGGUCCGCCACCCCCACCCUGGCUCCUUCUCAGGCCACUGGGUGCUUGAGACUUCUUCGAGGGACGAGGGUCACCCACAGGCCGGUAUCUCUGGGUUGGCAAGAGGGAGGCUGGCCAAGGGGAAGGAAGACCACCGCCAACAAGAAGGGGCUCCUGCACCAGGACAGCCAAGCCCUGCACUCACUCAGGUUGCAGGAAAGUGCCGCUGAGAUGCCAGAACAAAGAUUUCCACUUGACUGACAGCUCCACGGAGGGUCUAUACAGCAGUGUCAGCCUGUGGGUGGGACUACACCAAGCAGGGAUCCUCAUGAGAUGCCCUUGUGGGACGUGAUCAAAUCCUACUACCUCUUUGCCCAAAACCCUCCAAGAGACCCCAGGGGUCAGAAUGGCUCAGCCUACCCCGGAAGAGAGAAGAGGCAAAAGAGAAUGCUGACCAGCUAAAACUCGAGUCUCUGCCUGCCACUGCAACGGGGCCGCCAGCGACCUCUUCCAAACCAUGUCCUUGCAGGGCUGGACUCCCGGGUGAUGCACAGAAAGACCCGGCUCUCGGCUUAGGGCUCAGCUGCCGCCAUCUUGAAAUUCUCA
This 730-nucleotide long non-coding RNA is filed under the name Equus asinus (donkey). RNAcentral describes it as "lncRNA (ENSEASG00005033708.1)". Lineage: Eukaryota; Metazoa; Chordata; Mammalia; Perissodactyla; Equidae. The record is from RNAcentral.